RNAcentral lists this ribosomal RNA (750 nucleotides) under uncultured bacterium. Its description in RNAcentral is "bacterial SSU rRNA". It matches the Rfam family "Bacterial small subunit ribosomal RNA", at positions 33 to 773 of the family's 1533-position model. The record is from RNAcentral.
ACGCUGGCGGCGUGCCUAAUACAUGCAAGUCGAACGCACAGCGAAAGGUGCUUGCACCUUUCAAGUGAGUGGCGAACGGGUGAGUAAUGUCUGGGAAACUGCCUGAUGGAGGGGGAUAACUACUGGAAACGGUAGCUAAUACCGCAUGACCUCGCAAGAGCCAAGUGGGGGACCUUCGGGCCUCACGCCAUCGGAUGUGCCCAGAUGGGAUUAGCUAGUAGGUGGGGUAAUGGCUCACCCAGGCGACGAUCCCUAGCUGGUCUGAGAGGAUGACCAGCCACACUGGAACUGAGACACGGUCCAGACUCCUACGGGAGGCAGCAGUGGGGAAUAUUGCACAAUGGGCGCAAGCCUGAUGCAGCCAUGCCGCGUGUGUGAAGAAGGCCUUAGGGUUGUAAAGCACUUUCAGCGAGGAGGAAGGGUUCAGUGUUAAUAGCACUGAGCAUUGACGUUACUCGCAGAAGAAGCACCGGCUAACUCCGUGCCAGCAGCCGCGGUAAUACGGAGGGUGCAAGCGUUAAUCGGAAUUACUGGGCGUAAAGCGCACGCAGGCGGUUUGUUAAGUCAGAUGUGAAAUCCCCGAGCUUAACUUGGGAACUGCAUUUGAAACUGGCAAGCUAGAGUCUUGUAGAGGGGGGUAGAAUUCCAGGUGUAGCGGUGAAAUGCGUAGAGAUCUGGAGGAAUACCGGUGGCGAAGGCGGCCCCCUGGACAAAGACUGACGCUCAGGUGCGAAAGCGUGGGGAGCAAAC